CAGUUGCCAUCGGUAAGGCCGGGCGACUCUGGAUGGACUGCCGGCGACAAGCCGAGGAAGUGGGGACGACGUCAAGUCAUCAUGGCCCUUAUGUCCAGGGCGACACACGUGCUACAAUGGCCGGCACAACGGGAAGCGAAGGGGCGACCCUGAGCGGAUCCCACAAAAAGCCGGUCUCAGUUCGGAUUGCAGUCUGCAACUCGACUGCAUGAAGUUGGAAUCGCUAGUAAUCGUGGAUCAGCCAAGCCGCGGUGAAUACGUUCCCGGGCCUU
RNAcentral lists this ribosomal RNA (272 nucleotides) under uncultured Thermovirga sp. Its description in RNAcentral is "partial 16S ribosomal RNA". It matches the Rfam family "Bacterial small subunit ribosomal RNA", at positions 1112 to 1382 of the family's 1533-position model. Lineage: Bacteria; Thermotogati; Synergistota; Synergistia; Synergistales; Thermovirgaceae. The record is from RNAcentral.